GACGAACGCUGGCGGCGUGCCUAAUACAUGCAAGUAGAACGCACAGUUUAUACCGUAGCUUGCUACACCAUAGACUGUGAGUUGCGAACGGGUGAGUAACGCGUAGGUAACCUGCCUGGUAGCGGGGGAUAACUAUUGGAAACGAUAGCUAAUACCGCAUAAUAUUAAUUAUUGCAUGAUAAUUAAUUGAAAGGUGCAAUUGCACCACUACCAGAUGGACAUGCGUUGUAUUAGCUAGUAGGUGAGGUAACGGCUCACCUAGGCGACGAUACAUAGCCGACCUGAGAGGGUGAUCGGCCACACUGGGACUGAGACACGGCCCAGACUCCUACGGGAGGCAGCAGUAGGGAAUCUUCGGCAAUGGACGAAAGUCUGACCGAGCAACGCCGCGUGAGUGAAGAAGGGUUUCGGAUCGUAAAGCUCUGCUGUAUGAGAAGAACGGGUGUGAGAGUGGAAAGUUCACACUGUGACGGUAUCUUACCAGAAAGGGACGGCUAACUACGUG
This 505-nucleotide ribosomal RNA is filed under the name uncultured bacterium. RNAcentral's name for it is "partial 16S ribosomal RNA". It matches the Rfam family "Bacterial small subunit ribosomal RNA", at positions 28 to 507 of the family's 1533-position model. The record is from RNAcentral.